This is a long non-coding RNA of Lingula anatina, 205 nucleotides long. Lineage: Eukaryota; Metazoa; Brachiopoda; Lingulata; Lingulida; Lingulidae. The record is from RefSeq and is a predicted model, not a curated record.
GGGAACUGGUUUCAUUUGGCACAGACUUGAGGUGUGUUUGCGUCCUCUCUUAGGUCACGCCUAACGUAAAGUGAAAGUGGAUGUACAGCGAUACAACGAUGUUACGGCUGGGACUUAGGCUGAACUUUUUGUGCUUUUUCCUCAUCUUAUUGAAAAGAGGCGCCUGUAGGGACUGGUUUGUUUCUCCUUCUAAAGGGCUAGAUGA